This 470-nucleotide ribosomal RNA is filed under the name uncultured beta proteobacterium. RNAcentral describes it as "bacterial SSU rRNA". It matches the Rfam family "Bacterial small subunit ribosomal RNA", at positions 188 to 649 of the family's 1533-position model. The record is from RNAcentral. Lineage: Bacteria; Pseudomonadati; Pseudomonadota; Betaproteobacteria.
GGAGAAAACCAUGGGAUCGCAAGACCUUGCGCUCAUUGAGCGGCCGAUCCCUGAUUAGCUAGUUGGUGAGGUAAAGGCUUACCAAGGCGACGAUCAGUAGCUGGUCUGAGAGGACGACCAGCCACACUGGGAUUGAGACACGGCCCAGACUCCUACGGGAGGCAGCAGUGGGGAAUUUUGGACAAUGGGGGAAACCCUGAUCCAGCCAUGCCGCGUGAGUGAAGAAGGCCUUCGGGUUGUAAAGCUCUUUCAGCCGGAACGAAACGGUCACGGCUAAUACCUGUGACUACUGACGGUACCGGAAGAAGAAGCACCGGCUAACUACGUGCCAGCAGCCGCGGUAAUACGUAGGGUGCGAGCGUUAAUCGGAAUUACUGGGCGUAAAGCGUGCGCAGGCGGUUUUGUAAGUCAGAUGUGAAAUCCCCGGGCUUAACCUGGGAACUGCGUUUGAAACUACAAGGCUAGAAGGG